GGCCCCGUGGCGGAAUUGGUAGACGCACCGGACUUAAAAUCCGUUGUUCCGAAAGGGACGUGCCCGUUCGACUCGGGCCGGGGCCACCA
RNAcentral lists this transfer RNA (89 nucleotides) under Hyphomicrobiales bacterium. RNAcentral describes it as "Rhizobiales bacterium tRNA-Leu". It matches the Rfam family "tRNA". Rfam says of the family: Transfer RNA (tRNA) molecules are approximately 80 nucleotides in length. Lineage: Bacteria; Pseudomonadati; Pseudomonadota; Alphaproteobacteria; Hyphomicrobiales. The record is from RNAcentral.